UUUAAGAUACUACAAACAGUGGGCAGAACAUGACAAGGAUAACCCACAACCAUAUUUAAAAGUUUGUUACUGUCUUGCAAUGGUUGGUGACAUUGAAGAGGCCAAGAAAUAUUGCACAAAAGCAAAAGAAAAAGCUAAUAUGGAUGGUAAUAAUGAUCAAACAGAUAUACAACAAAAGAUUUUAACUAUGUGGAAUCUUCUAGAGGAAGCAGAAAAAGAAAUGAAUAAGGAGUCGUAAAGACAGUUGGAUAUUGUCAGAUUAAAUGUAGCAUUCGAUAGAUUUUUACCUAAUUAAAGCAGUGCUAGCAUGUUACAUCUACACAAGAUGCUUUAAGAUGAAAAUUUA
This is a long non-coding RNA of Saccostrea cuccullata (small rock oyster), 346 nucleotides long. RefSeq lists it as uncharacterized. NCBI's taxonomy places the organism in Eukaryota, Metazoa, Mollusca, Bivalvia, Ostreida, Ostreidae. The transcript is spliced from 3 exons. The record is from RefSeq and is a predicted model, not a curated record.